GUCUAUGGCCAGACCACCCUGAACACACCCGAUCUCCUCUGAUCUCUGAAGCUAAACAGAGUGGGGCCUGGUUAGUACUUGGAUGGGCAAAAGGGAAUGAAUCGCCUAAAAUACAGAAUAUAGGAGUUUGAGAUA
Molecule: ribosomal RNA, 135 nt
Filed under: Prolemur simus (greater bamboo lemur)
Lineage: Eukaryota; Metazoa; Chordata; Mammalia; Primates; Lemuridae
Source: RNAcentral